GGAGGAGUUAAGCAUCUGAAACAAAACAUGGCCCAUUUUCCCAACCAUCGUGCAUGGAUGUACGACCGUUGUUAUAGUGGAAGGAGAGGUUUGAAGGAAUCUUUUGUCAUUGGAGUUGAAGAGUUCGUGGAGACGGCCCGACGAUAUCAAUAUUAUGCCCUUGAUGGAGGGAUUCGAUGUCCAUGCAUCAAGUGCGAAUGUACAAGCAUUCUGAAAGAUGAAGUCGUCAAAGUUCACCUUUACCAAAAAGGGUUCAUGCCUAAUUACACGGUCUGGACAUUUCAUGGUGAAGAAAUUCCUUCGACCUCCACUGCAGCUGAAAAACGGCUUGCAUCAGGUUCGAAUACUGUUGUACAUACAUGUGAG
This 366-nucleotide small RNA is filed under the name Vigna angularis var. angularis. Its description in RNAcentral is "Non-protein coding transcript". The record is from RNAcentral. Lineage: Eukaryota; Viridiplantae; Streptophyta; Magnoliopsida; Fabales; Fabaceae.